Schistosoma margrebowiei is the source of this 78-nucleotide non-coding RNA. NCBI's taxonomy places the organism in Eukaryota, Metazoa, Platyhelminthes, Trematoda, Strigeidida, Schistosomatidae. The record is from Rfam.
GGCCUUCUUAAUCCGUACCGAGAUUUCGUCGGACACCAAACUAUCAGCACUAAUGAGACUUUCAAGAUAAGUGAAGCA